RNAcentral lists this ribosomal RNA (203 nucleotides) under uncultured bacterium. Its description in RNAcentral is "partial 16S ribosomal RNA". It matches the Rfam family "Bacterial small subunit ribosomal RNA", at positions 1298 to 1500 of the family's 1533-position model. The record is from RNAcentral.
UUGCAGGCUGCAACCCGCCUGCAUGAAGUUGGAAUCGCUAGUAAUCGCGGAUCAGCAUGCCGCGGUGAAUACGUUCCCGGGCCUUGUACACACCGCCCGUCACACCAUGAGAGUCGGGAACACCCGAAGUCCGUAGCCUAACCGCAAGGGGGGCGCGGCCGAAGGUGGGUUCGAUAAUUGGGGUGAAGUCGUAACAAGGUAAC